AUGUAAGGCCACACUAGCCUGAACACUCCUGAUCUUGUCUGAUCUCAGAAGCCAAGCAGGGUUGGGCCUGGUUAGUACUCAGAUGGGAGAAAUACAGUAACUACCAAGUUUUCCUGCACA
Molecule: ribosomal RNA, 120 nt
Organism: Fukomys damarensis (Damara mole-rat)
Lineage: Eukaryota; Metazoa; Chordata; Mammalia; Rodentia; Bathyergidae
Source: Ensembl